Molecule: ribosomal RNA, 597 nt
Filed under: Triticum aestivum (bread wheat)
Lineage: Eukaryota; Viridiplantae; Streptophyta; Magnoliopsida; Poales; Poaceae
Description: partial small subunit ribosomal RNA
Source: RNAcentral
AUGCUCUUUUUGGCGAUUUGUUUGAAGCUCUGCACUAACAUAAUCAGCAUGUGCUUUUCAUGUCGACAUGUGUUCAUGCUAGAUAAUGUUGAACUGGGCAUGAUGAACUUGAAGCAAACGACAAUGCCACGAAUACAAUUAUUCGACGAGGAGACCCUGAAACGGAUGAUCCUCGUGUGCUCAGCAAGAAAGCUAGGGAGAACAAUCUUCAUAGUCCCUGAGGCAAGACACUGGAAUGCCAUGUGCUACACAUGGCACAACUGGCAGAACGAGAAGCAUGGCAAGAAGAAAGCAAUGGAGCACAAGGCUGAAGGCUCAGCAAAUCAGUAUGCACUCGUCAGUCACAACCCAGAGACCACUCGACGGGGAGAGUAUACCAAUGCGGACACAAGCAACCUUGCACAGACACAUAAAAGCAUCAUCGAAUUCAGCCCCGGCGACUACGCUCGCUGGAUCCAGAUGCAAAACCCAGAGCUGGCCGCUUCUCCAUUAGGAUGGGCACUAAAAGAGCACAACGCAAAGUGUGUGCAUAUCGCAAAUGAAAUGAGAAGGAACAUUGCAACUGAGAACAUUCGAUUCACAAAAAAACUGCUGUAG